Molecule: non-coding RNA, 21 nt
Filed under: Arabidopsis thaliana (thale cress)
Lineage: Eukaryota; Viridiplantae; Streptophyta; Magnoliopsida; Brassicales; Brassicaceae
Source: RNAcentral
CUGGGAUUGUCUACAAAGGCA